UUUUAUGAGAGUUUGAUCCUGGCUCAGGACGAACGCUGGCGGCGUGCCUAAUACAUGCAAGUCGAACGCUUCUUUUUCCACCGGAGCUUGCUCCACCGGAAAAAGAGGAGUGGCGAACGGGUGAGUAACACGUGGGUAACCUGCCCAUCAGAAGGGGAUAACACUUGGAAACAGGUGCUAAUACCGUAUAACAAUCGAAACCGCAUGGUUUUGAUU
Molecule: ribosomal RNA, 216 nt
Filed under: Enterococcus faecium
Lineage: Bacteria; Bacillati; Bacillota; Bacilli; Lactobacillales; Enterococcaceae
Description: partial 16S ribosomal RNA
Rfam family: Bacterial small subunit ribosomal RNA
Source: RNAcentral